AGUUACGCGCACUCACUGUUCAUCAUCUUCCUCGCGUUUUCUCUCCAUAGGCUACAUUUUUCAGGUUCGUUUUCUCACUUUUACACCAUUUAAAAUUAAUUUUACUCUGAUUACAUUACUCUUUGAUGAACUAUCUUUCAUUUGAAUCGAUUAAAAUGCGUUUUCGUUGGGUUUUAGUGCAGUUUUGCUCGUGUCCUUGGGUGGCGAUUUCUUGUGUUUUGCACUCCUCGAAUUCCCUCCACUACAUUUUUAAAACCAUCCAAUACAAAAAAAAAAAAAAAAAUACAAUCCAUUCUCUUCAACUAAAAUAUAAAGUUGUAAACUCG
This 326-nucleotide long non-coding RNA is filed under the name Vigna radiata. RNAcentral's name for it is "long non-coding RNA (VRAD_LNC003698)". The record is from RNAcentral. Lineage: Eukaryota; Viridiplantae; Streptophyta; Magnoliopsida; Fabales; Fabaceae.